Molecule: ribosomal RNA, 503 nt
Filed under: uncultured bacterium
Lineage: Bacteria
Description: bacterial SSU rRNA
Rfam family: Bacterial small subunit ribosomal RNA
Source: RNAcentral
GAUGGACGCUAGCUACAGGCUUAACACAUGCAAGUCGAGGGGGCAGCGGGAUUGAAGCUUGCUUCAAUUGCCGGCGACCGGCGCACGGGUGAGUAACGCGUAUCCAACCUUCCGUACACUCGAGGGAUAGCCUUUCGAAAGAAAGAUUAAUACCUGAUGGUAUCUUAAGCACACAUGUAAUUAAGAUUAAAGAUUUAUCGGUGUACGAUGGGGAUGCGUUCCAUUAGGUAGUAGGCGGGGUAACGGCCCACCUAGCCAACGAUGGAUAGGGGUUCUGAGAGGAAGGUCCCCCACAUUGGAACUGAGACACGGUCCAAACUCCUACGGGAGGCAGCAGUGAGGAAUAUUGGUCAAUGGACGAGAGUCUGAACCAGCCAAGUAGCGUGAAGGAUGAAGGUCCUACGGAUUAGUAAACUUCUUUUAUAAGGGAAUAAACCCUCCCACGUGUGGGAGCUUGUAUGUACCUUAUGAAUAAGCAUCGGCUAACUCCGUGCCAGCAGCCG